RNAcentral lists this ribosomal RNA (924 nucleotides) under uncultured Bacteroidota bacterium. RNAcentral's name for it is "bacterial SSU rRNA". It matches the Rfam family "Bacterial small subunit ribosomal RNA", at positions 1 to 916 of the family's 1533-position model. Lineage: Bacteria; Pseudomonadati; Bacteroidota. The record is from RNAcentral.
GGAUCCAGACUUUGAUUCUGGCUCAGGAUGAACGCUAGCUACAGGCUUAACACAUGCAAGUCGAGGGGAAACGAUAUUGGAAGCUUGCUUCCGAUAGGCGUCGACCGGCGCACGGGUGAGUAACGCGUAUCCAACCUGCCCAUCACUUGGGGAUAACCUUGCGAAAGUAAGACUAAUACCCAAUGAUAUCUCUAGAAGACAUCUGAAAGGGAUUAAAGAUUUAUCGGUGAUGGAUGGGGAUGCGUCUGAUUAGCUUGUUGGCGGGGUAACGGCCCACCAAGGCGACGAUCAGUAGGGGUUCUGAGAGGAAGGUCCCCCACAUUGGAACUGAGACACGGUCCAAACUCCUACGGGAGGCAGCAGUGAGGAAUAUUGGUCAAUGGGCGAGAGCCUGAACCAGCCAAGUAGCGUGCAGGAUGACGGCCCUAUGGGUUGUAAACUGCUUUUAUAAGGGAAUAAAGUGAGCCUCGUGAGGCUUUUUGCAUGUACCUUAUGAAUAAGGACCGGCUAAUUCCGUGCCAGCAGCCGCGGUAAUACGGAAGGUCCGGGCGUUAUCCGGAUUUAUUGGGUUUAAAGGGAGCGUAGGCCGGAGAUUAAGCGUGUUGUGAAAUGUAGAUGCUCAACAUCUGCACUGCAGCGCGAACUGGUUUCCUUGAGUACGCACAAAGUGGGCGGAAUUCGUGGUGUAGCGGUGAAAUGCUUAGAUAUCACGAAGAACUCCGAUUGCGAAGGCAGCUCACUGGAGCGCAACUGACGCUGAAGCUCGAAAGUGCGGGUAUCGAACAGGAUUAGAUACCCUGGUAGUCCGCACGGUAAACGAUGGAUGCCCGCUGUUGGUCUGAAUAGGUCAGCGGCCAAGCGAAAGCAUUAAGCAUCCCACCUGGGGAGUACGCCGGCAACGGUGCAACUCAAAUGAAUUGACGG